RNAcentral lists this ribosomal RNA (285 nucleotides) under uncultured bacterium. Its description in RNAcentral is "partial 16S ribosomal RNA". It matches the Rfam family "Bacterial small subunit ribosomal RNA", at positions 333 to 632 of the family's 1533-position model. The record is from RNAcentral.
CUGCCCCUACGGGGCGCAGCAGUGGGGAAUAUUGGGCAAUGGGCGCAAGCCUGACCCAGCAACGCCGCGUGAAGGAAGAAGGCUUUCGGGUUGUAAACUUCUUUUAUUGAGGACGAAACAAAUGACGGUACUCAAUGAAUAAGCCACGGCUAACUACGUGCCAGCAGCCGCGGUAAUACGUAGGUGGCAAGCGUUAUCCGGAUUUACUGGGUGUAAAGGGCGUAUAGGCGGGACUGCAAGGCAGAUGUGAAACCCAUGGGCUCAACCCAUGGCCUGCCUUUGAAA